AGUGAACGCUGGCGGCAGGCCUAACACAUGCAAGUCGAGCGGCAGCGCGUCCGACCACCCUCGGGUGGUCGGAUGGCGGCGAGCGGCGGACGGGUGAGGAAUGCAUCGGAAUCUGCCUCGUUGUGGGGGAUAACGUAGGGAAACUUACGCUAAUACCGCAUACGACCUACGGGUGAAAGUGGGGGACCUUCGGGCCUCACGCGAUGAGAUGAGCCGAUGCCGGAUUAGCUAGUUGGCGGGGUAAAGGCCCGACCAAGGCGACGAUCCGUAGCUGGUCUGAGAGGAUGAUCAGCCACACUGGAACUGAGACACGGUCCAGACUCCUACGGGAGGCAGCAGUGGGGAAUAUUGGACAAUGGGGGCAACCCGUGAUCCAGCCAUGCCGCGUGUGUGAAGAAGGCC
This 402-nucleotide ribosomal RNA is filed under the name uncultured bacterium. RNAcentral's name for it is "bacterial SSU rRNA". It matches the Rfam family "Bacterial small subunit ribosomal RNA", at positions 30 to 416 of the family's 1533-position model. The record is from RNAcentral.